Molecule: ribosomal RNA, 1677 nt
Filed under: Paramunida spica
Lineage: Eukaryota; Metazoa; Arthropoda; Malacostraca; Decapoda; Munididae
Description: partial 28S ribosomal RNA
Rfam family: Eukaryotic large subunit ribosomal RNA
Source: RNAcentral
CCUCGCUUCAUUUCCGAAUGAUUCGAGGGGUGUUGCGUUUCAGAGGGUCCACUCAUCAUCCACCACUGCCUAAGUUUCCGCUUGAAAGUGUCUUUGACCAUGGAGGGUGACAGUCCCGUAUGGCAGCUGCCCGUGAGGGUAAGGUGGAAUGGUGUAACGUGGGCCAAUCUGUAGAGUCAGGUUGCCUAAUACUGCAACCUAAAGUAGGUGGUAAACUCCAUCUAAGGCUAAAUAUUCCCACGAGACCGAUAGCGAACAAGUACCGUGAGGGAAAGUUGAAAAGGACUUUGAAGAGAGAGUUCAAUAGUACGUGAAACCGUUAAGAGCCUAAACGGAUGGGACCAAUGCAGAUCGAACUGAGGGGAUUCAGCUCGCCGGCAUCAUCUCACUAUAAGGUUGAAAGCAGAAUUGUGAAGUGACCUGAGCCAUGGAUUGAGCAGCAGAAGUAAAUCUUGUUCUGUGUUGUAAUACAUCCUAUCGGGCACGCCUUAUAAUUGAUCGAUGGUGUUGGUUGGCGUAUUUCGCCUCUGAAGUAGAUCACUGCGACCUGUUGCGGGGAAGUCGAAGGCCCGGGUGGAUUGGUAGCCUUAUGCCAAUUACGGUAUUGUGAUCCUUGGCAACAAUCUGAACAAGUGAGCCUUGGUGAGCAGCUGUAUGUCGGUGUUUUGUGAAACCUCCGGUGACAUAUCCUAACUGCCCUGCGAUAGUCGUUAGUGGAGCCUUUCCCACGGGAUUGGCUCUCGCAGUGUGUGCAAAGAGGGCCAGGAACCAACCGACCCGUCUUGAAACACGGACCAAGGAGUCUAACAUGUAUGCAAGUCUAAGGGUGCUACUAAACCCAUGGGCGAAAUGAAGGUGAUUAAUGAGAAUUCACACCCGGUGGCACUGUAAUGAGGUGCCCCAAAGGACUGAUCCCGAGGGCUGGUACCUAAGUUCUACCGAUCAGGAAAUUUAGUAAGUAGGUGAGACCCUUUCCCUGUUGAACAUAUUUCCUGGUUGGGAUUGCUAUGGGUUAAGGUCUGAGAUGCUGUUAAGUCAGUGGAGGCGCAAGUCUGGGACGUGACCUAAGCUUAAAUGCAAAGACUGAUAGUUGUUUAGUGGCGUGCAUCAUAUGCCCCCCCGGCAAUGCGCUAUUUCCUUGCAGUUAUUAUAACCAUCAUUUGUCAAAAGCUUGUUGGUUAUUGGCUGUAGGGUGGUGUAAGUGCACGGGUCUUCAGUUGGGUAAUAUUUGGUGGCUAUGCAAAACUGAGAGACGUCGAGGACACGUACCUUGAGCAUCCAUGUUAGUACCCGAAAGAUGGUGAACUAUGCCUGGCCAGGAUGAAGCCAGAGGAAACUCUGGUGGAGGUCCGAAGCAAUUCUGACGUGCAAAUCGAUUGUCAGAGCUGGGUAUAGGGGCGAAAGACUAAUCGAACUAUCUAGUAGCUGGUUCCCUCCGAAGUUUCCCUCAGGAUAGCUGGUACUCAUUGAUGAAUUUCAUCUGGUAAAGAGAAUGAUUAGAGGUGAUGGGGACGAAAUGUCCUCAACCUAUUCUCAAACUUUAAAUGGGUGAGAAUGGCCAAGCUUUCUUGAAGCAUAAGAUUUUUUUCUUAAUGACUGCUAGCACGUUUGAGAGUUGAAAGCCUUAUGAAGAUGAAGCUUUGGCAUUGGAAUCAGAGUACCAAGUGGGCCACUUUU